GUGGGGAAUCUUGCGCAAUGGGCGAAAGCCUGACGCAGCCAUGCCGCGUGGAUGAUGAAGGUCUUAGGAUUGUAAAAUCCUUUCACCGGUGAAGAUAAUGACUGUAGCCGGAGAAGAAGCCCCGGCUAACUUCGUGCCAGCAGCCGCGGUAAUACGAAGGGGGCUAGCGUUGCUCGGAUUUACUGGGCGUAAAGGGCGCGUAGGCGGACAUUUAAGUCAGGGGUGAAAUCCCGGGGCUCAACCUCGGAACUGCCUUUGAUACUGGGUGUCUUGAGUAUGAGAGAGGUGUGUGGAACUCCGAGUGUAGAGGUGAAAUUCGUAGAUAUUCGGAAGAACACCAGUGGCGAAGGCGGCUCACUGGCUCGAUACUGACGCUGAGGUGCGAAAGCGUGGGGAGCAAACAGGAUUAGAAACCCUAGUAGUCC
Molecule: ribosomal RNA, 425 nt
Filed under: uncultured bacterium
Lineage: Bacteria
Description: partial 16S ribosomal RNA
Rfam family: Bacterial small subunit ribosomal RNA
Source: RNAcentral